GCAGGUUAUAGCUAGUGGCAGAGCAUGUGCUUAGCAUGCACAAGGCCCUGGGUUCUACCCCCAGUACCUCCG
RNAcentral lists this transfer RNA (72 nucleotides) under Camelus bactrianus (Bactrian camel). The stretch from base 7 to 66 matches the Rfam family "tRNA", at positions 6 to 65 of the family's 71-position model. Rfam says of the family: Transfer RNA (tRNA) molecules are approximately 80 nucleotides in length. Their secondary structure includes four short double-helical elements and three loops (D, anti-codon, and T loops). Lineage: Eukaryota; Metazoa; Chordata; Mammalia; Artiodactyla; Camelidae. RNAcentral also lists the same sequence under 2 other names. The record is from Rfam by way of RNAcentral.